GCGGUGCCCGAUGAGCCCGCGGCCUAUCAGCUUGUUGGUGAGGUAACGGCUCACCAAGGCGACGACGGGUAGCCGGCCUGAGAGGGCGACCGGCCACACUGGGACUGAGACACGGCCCAGACUCCUACGGGAGGCAGCAGUGGGGAAUAUUGCACAAUGGGCGCAAGCCUGAUGCAGCGACGCCGCGUGAGGGAUGACGGCCUUCGGGUUGUAAACCUCUUUCAGCAGGGAAGAAGCGCAAGUGACGGUACCUGCAGAAGAAGCGCCGGCUAACUACGUGCCAGCAGCCGCGGUAAUACGUAGGGCGCGAGCGUUGUCCGGAAUUAUUGGGCGUAAAGAGCUCGUAGGCGGCUUGUCGCGUCGGUUGUGAAAGCCCGGGGCUUAACCCCGGGUCUGCAGUCGAUACGGGCAGGCUAGAGUUCGGUAGGGGAGAUCGGAAUUUCCUGGUGUAGCGGUGAAAUGCGCAGAUAUCAGGAGGAACACCGGUGGCGAAGGCGGAUCUCUGGGCCGAUACUGACGCUGAGGAGCGAAAGCGUGGGGAGCGAACAGGAUUAGAUACCCUGGGUAGUCCACGCCGUAAACGGUGGGGCACUAGGUGUGGGGCGACAUUUCCACGUCGUCCGUGCCGCAGCUAACGCAUUAAGUGCCCCGCCUGGGGAGUACUGCCGCAAGGCUAAAACUCAAAAGGAAAUUGACGGGGGGCCC
Molecule: ribosomal RNA, 705 nt
Filed under: Streptomyces atrovirens
Lineage: Bacteria; Bacillati; Actinomycetota; Actinomycetes; Kitasatosporales; Streptomycetaceae
Description: bacterial SSU rRNA
Rfam family: Bacterial small subunit ribosomal RNA
Source: RNAcentral